RNAcentral lists this ribosomal RNA (451 nucleotides) under uncultured bacterium. Its description in RNAcentral is "partial 16S ribosomal RNA". It matches the Rfam family "Bacterial small subunit ribosomal RNA", at positions 29 to 523 of the family's 1533-position model. The record is from RNAcentral.
AGCGAACGCUGGCGGCAGGCUUAACACAUGCAAGUCGAGCGGGCAUAGCAAUAUGUCAGCGGCAGACGGGUGAGUAACGCGUGGGAACGUACCUUUUGGUUCGGAACAACUGAGGGAAACCCCAGCUAAUACCGGAUAAGCCCUUACGGGGAAAGAUGUAUCGCCGCAAGAUCGGCCCGCGUCUGAUUAGCUAGUUGGUGAGGUAAUGGCUCACCAAGGCGACGAUCAGUAGCUGGCCUGAGAGGAUGAUCAGCCACAUUGGGACUGAGACACGGCCCAAACUCCUACGGGAGGCAGCAGUGGGGAAUAUUGGACAAUGGGCGCAAGCCUGAUCCAGCCAUGCCGCGUGAGUGAUGAAGGCCCUAGGGUUGUAAAGCUCUUUUGUGCGGGAAGAUGAUGACGGUACCGCAAGAAUAAGCCCCGGCUAACUUCGUGCCAGCCGCCGCCGUAA